CGGCAGCCAAUAAAAUGGCGCUUCGAGCAGAGACCGCGGGCUCAGAGGAUCUUUACUGCGGUGUAGUUCACAGAUGUAGUUCACAGGUGUGUCGGCUCUCUAUGUUAGCCUGUCUUCAGUUCUUUUACAAAUAUGAUGUUUCCUUGCUAGGAGAGGAGCAGACAGGUGUGCCGCAGCUGGUACUUCACCACAGAAGAAGAAGAGACAGGAAGUUGCCUUCUUCUAUGGAGUGAAGACAUUUCUUUCUGGGCUUCUGUAUCCUGCUGUGGUCCAUCGUUUGAUCUCCGCCUGCCGCAGCAGCAGCUCAGCUCAGUCGGAGCCCUCCUGGUUCUCCAAGAUCGGAUCUGUGGACAGAGAAACAACUAAAAUGUGUCGGAGUGUGCUGCUGAUGUUGGGAGGAGACACGAUCAGUACGGCGCUUUCAGAUGUUAUCCCAGAAUGCACCACUGGACCUUCUACAGACGGGGAACUCAGCUCCUGAAAAGCACGAAGACUUUAAAAUGUAAUGCAGUGUAAUAAACAACAGCUCUGUGGUUAAGCUUACA
Long non-coding RNA from Acanthopagrus latus (yellowfin seabream), 545 nucleotides. RefSeq lists it as uncharacterized. The transcript is spliced from 4 exons. The record is from RefSeq and is a predicted model, not a curated record. Lineage: Eukaryota; Metazoa; Chordata; Actinopteri; Spariformes; Sparidae.